CGAGCGGACAGAAGGGAGCUUGCUCCCGGAUGUUAGCGGCGGACGGGUGAGUAACACGUGGGUAACCUGCCUGUAAGACUGGGAUAACUCCGGGAAACCGGAGCUAAUACCGGAUAGUUCCUUGAACCGCAUGGUUCAAGGAUGAAAGACGGUUUCGGCUGUCACUUACAGAUGGACCCGCGGCGCAUUAGCUAGUUGGUGAGGUAACGGCUCACCAAGGCGACGAUGCGUAGCCGACCUGAGAGGGUGAUCGGCCACACUGGGACUGAGACACGGCCCAGACUCCUACGGGAGGCAGCAGUAGGGAAUCUUCCGCAAUGGACGAAAGUCUGACGGAGCAACGCCGCGUGAGUGAUGAAGGUUUUCGGAUCGUAAAGCUCUGUUGUUAGGGAAGAACAAGUGCAAGAGUAACUGCUUGCACCUUGACGGUACCUAACCAGAAAGCCACGGCUAACUACGUGCCAGCAGCCGCGGUAAUACAUAGGUGGCAAGCGUUGUCCGGAAUUAUCGGGAGUAGCGGACUCGCAGGCGGUCUCUGUUCUCGGACGGGAACUACCAGGGGUAUCAACCGGGGAGGGUCAUUGGAAACUGGGAAACUUGAGUGCAGAAGAGGAGAGUGGAAUUCCACGUGUAGCGGUGAAAUGCGUAGAGAUGUGGAGGAACACCAGUGGCGAAGGCGACUCUCUGGUCUGUAACUGACGCUGAGGAGCGAAAGCGUGGGGAGCGAACAGGAUUAGAUACCCUGGUAGUCCACGCCGUAAACGAUGAGUGCUAAGUGUUAGGGGGUUUCCGCCCCUUAGUGCUGCAGCUAACGCAUUAAGCACUCCGCCUGGGGAGUACGGUCGCAAGACUGAAACUCAAAGGAAUUGACGGGGGCCCGCACAAGCGGUGGAGCAUGUGGUUUAAUUCGAAGCAACGCGAAGAACCUUACCAGGUCUUGACAUCCUCUGACAACCCUAGAGAUAGGGCUUUCCCUUCGGGGACAGAGUGACAGGUGGUGCAUGGUUGUCGUCAGCUCGUGUCGUGAGAUGUUGGGUUAAGUCCCGCAACGAGCGCAACCCUUGAUCUUAGUUGCCAGCAUUCAGUUGGGCACUCUAAGGUGACUGCCGGUGACAAACCGGAGGAAUGUGGAGAUGACGUCUAAUCAUCAUGCUCCUUAUGACCUGGGCUACACACGUGCUACAAUGGACAGAACAAAGGGCUGCGAGACCGCCCGGUUUACCCAAUCCCACA
Molecule: ribosomal RNA, 1233 nt
Filed under: Bacillus sp. (in: firmicutes)
Lineage: Bacteria; Bacillati; Bacillota; Bacilli; Caryophanales; Bacillaceae
Description: bacterial SSU rRNA
Rfam family: Bacterial small subunit ribosomal RNA
Source: RNAcentral